AAUCCACUUAAGCCCUGCUUAGUGUUGGGAGUCUACUGGAGCGGUGCUACCUGGGAGUUACCCUGUAGUUACCCUGUAGUUCCUUAAAGAUAGCGGCGGAGUUGUGGUAUCCUCUGAGCUUAGUAACUUAACCUAGCUUUCGAGAAACCACUUCCCUUGCCGUAAAACACCCUUCUUUUGAAU
RNAcentral lists this unclassified non-coding RNA (183 nucleotides) under uncultured Xylariales. RNAcentral describes it as "sequence contains ITS2". The record is from RNAcentral. Lineage: Eukaryota; Fungi; Ascomycota; Sordariomycetes; Xylariales.